Molecule: non-coding RNA, 24 nt
Filed under: Xenopus tropicalis (tropical clawed frog)
Lineage: Eukaryota; Metazoa; Chordata; Amphibia; Anura; Pipidae
Also listed under: 5 other names
Source: RNAcentral
UUGGUGUAUGUGCUUGGCUGAGGA